This 25691-nucleotide long non-coding RNA is filed under the name Populus tremula. RNAcentral's name for it is "long non-coding RNA (PTRE_LNC001220)". The stretch from base 4813 to 4968 matches the Rfam family "MIR2912 microRNA precursor family". The record is from RNAcentral. Lineage: Eukaryota; Viridiplantae; Streptophyta; Magnoliopsida; Malpighiales; Salicaceae.
UGGUGACAUGUAUGGAUUGCUACAACAACGAAAUCAUCGUUUAAAUUGGAACCAAUUUUUUUCCAUAUAAAAUGGUCAAGUCAAUUUUUACUUACAGAUCUCCUCCUGCUCUAACCGCAACAUGUGGAUCCUCCUCAUCGUAAAGCUUUGCCAAUCCAAAAUCUGAUAUUUUCGGAUUACAACUUGCAUGAAGCAGAAUAUUAUUGGCUUUUAUGUUUCUGUGUAUUAUUUGAGGAUUCCUUUCAUGAAGAUACUUCAAACCCUUCGCUAUUCCCUUGCAGAUUAUAAAUCUUUUCGGCCAAUCAAUUCGCACUGUGGAAUGUGUACAUGCAAAUCCCCAAGUCAAUAGUCAGCAGUCUGCCACAUUCUGGUUGUGAAAAAAUGGUUGGCUAAGGAUCACCAUAAGGUUUAAUUAGUCCUUCCAUUAGAAGAACUAAACUCAACUAUCACGUUUAAUAUGUAAGUGUAGGGCUUGAAAGAUCAAACUAUUCAUUGAAAAUUCUGAAGAUUCAGAGAUAUAUCCUCGUUUGGAACGCGGUGCAAACAGCGUUUCAAAAAUUUUAUUUUUUUUAUUAAAAAUAAUUUUUUUAUGUUUCAAAUCAUUUUGAUGUAUCAAUAUCAAAAAUAAAUUUUAAAAAAUAAACAAUUUUUAUUUUUUUGAUGCAUUUCUAAAUAAAAAGCACUUUGAACCGUUAUCAUAUCACAAUCUCAAAUAGGCUUGUACUCAGUACAAGGAAGGGAUAAUGUUGUAUAGAGAAAAUGAAAGGUGGACAUAAAACCAUAUAAACUUUAAAAAUUAACAUACCAUCCAUCCUAAAGUCAUUUAGAUGUGCCAUUUUAUUGAUUAUUUUUUGGAUUCCCUUUGAAAAAUAAGAAAAACACAAAACAAAAUUCAUAAUUCAUUAAAAAAUGAUAAAUAUAUUCACCUUCUCCUUGUAUCUAUUUUUUUUAAAAAAAAAGUAUUGGAAAAAAACUAUAAAAUGUUACUAGAUAUUCUCCUAGUACCAUAAAAGUUCACAUUAAAUCGGUAUAUCAGCUGGAUGUGUAAUUAAUACUUAUUUAAAAAAACAUUAUUCUUUAACUCAAAAGUGUCAAAGUUUUCUUAAUGGACCAUGACUUUGUGUAUAAACACUUUAUUUUUAUCUUUUCUUAAUGGAGCAUGUUCUUUAUGAAAAUGGGGUCAUAAUACAUGAAUUGCACGAUGCACAUCUCUACUAUAAUGAGACUUAAGAGUUAAUAGAAGAUUAUUUAAAGACUCUCUAUGUUUUGAAAUAAAUCCCACCUUUUGAUAAUUUUCACAGGUUUUGUAGAAUGCAUGUGAGUCUUUAAAUAUGGUGGGCUAGUAAAAUCCACUUUGUAAGAUUUUUGCAGUUGUCUCUCUUAAUGAGAAAUGACCCCCACAUGUCUCGGAAUGCUAAAAGUUUAUGACACUACUUACCUCAUUGUCAAGAAUACAUCUUUGAUAUAUUUUAUUAGAACAAUAUUUGAAUAAGUAAGGGUCAUGCCAAUAAAAAUUAUGCGCGACACUUAAAAACUUUCUUUUGUCUUGGGUAUUCAAAUGUGCUGGCAAAAAUCCUGAAGUAAGAAAAUUGUCAAUAUUAGCAGACCAAGGUGUUAAACUAAGAGAAAAUAAAGAUUCAUUAGAAAAGUAAUAAUCAAUUGGUGUGAUGUUAGAUAUCGAAUCUAUUGUCAAUUUUGACAAAUGAUCCACAAUAAUAUUUUCGGUGCCUUUUUCGUCCUCGAUUUCUUCCCGUUUGAAAGUUUCAAAGAUAGAAUCGUGAUUGACUUCCCUUUGUUUGGUCAUGGCAUGAAGAAAUGGAAGUACUGGUGGGGAAUCAAUCUUUUCUUUGCAAUGUUCAUGUUUAACCCCUUCCUUACCCUUAGAGAUUGACUCAUCAUCUUUCUCAUAAGGUUCAUGAAUGGGUUUUUCAAUAACCUUACCACUAUAGAGAGUAAUGACUAAUUAGACUUGAUCCAUGUGUUGGUUUCUAGAACUACUUGCAUUUGCAUUGUAUUUCCCCUUGGGAUUUUGCUGUGGUUAAGAUGGAAACUUACCUUUGUCCUGAAAACCGAGAGUAGAUGUGAAUUUUGUAAGAGUAUCUUUCAAAUCAGCCAUAGUUUGAGCAUUUUGAGUGUUGAUUGUCUCUUGCUUUUCAAUGAAUGAAUGCAAUGUUUCCUCAAGAUUUUUUCUAGUAGGUGGAGCAUAAGGAGGUUCAUAUCCAUGAGAAUUUUGGAAAUUAUAGGGUGUUUGAAAUGGUGGUUGUGAAGUUUGUGCAUUAUUGUUAUCACUCUUCUAAUUGAAAUUUGGGUGAUUUCAACAACCAGGGUUAUAUUUUAUGAGUAUGAGUUAUGAUUGGGCCUUUGAAAAUUGUUUAAAGCAUGAUUUGUUCAUGGAGGUAUUCCUUGAAAGAAGGUGGAGCAUAAGGAGGUUCAUAUCUAUGAGAAUUUUGGAAAUUAUGGUGUUCUUGAAACGGUGGUUGUGAAGUUUAUGCAUUAUUUUUAUCACUCUUUCAACUGAAAUUUAAGUGAUUUCUCCAACUAGGAUUAUAUGUUUACGAGUAUGGGCUAUGAUUGAGCCUUUGUAAACUGUUUAAAGCAUGGGCUUGUUCAUGGAGGCAUUCCUUGAAAGAAGGCAAAGUUGAACAAUCAUUGGUUGAGUGUUAUUGGUUUCACAGAUUUGACACAUAAUGUCUUGAACAUAUUUUAAUUAACCACUCCUUUUUUUAUUCUAGUGCCUUGACUUUUCUAGCUAAAGAUGCAAAUCUAGCUUGGAGGUCAUUAUCUUCCCUAAGGUUGUACAUUCCUCUACUAGAUGUAUGAGGUUGAGUUUUACUUGGUGCCUCAUAAGUGCUUGUAGUGUCCCAAUUUUAAGCAUUUUUAGGUAGUAAGUCUAGGUAUUUCAUUGCUUCAUUAGGGUCUUUAUCUUCAAAAUUUUCAUUGCACAUCAAUUCCACCAUUUGUCUAUCUUUAGGUGUUAACCCUUUAUAAAAAUGAGAAACCAAUCUCCAUGUUUCAAAACCAUGAUGAGGGUAAGUAUUAAGCAAGUCUCGAUACCUAUUCAAACAUUGGUAAAAUGUUUCUCCUAGUUUUCUAGUGACAGUGGUGAUUUGUCUUUUGAAAAAGUUUGUUCUAUGAGAUGGAAAAAACUUCUUUAAAAAUUGUUGUUGCAUUUCAUCCUAAACACGAAUGGAUCCUGGUCUUAAAUUUUAUAGCCAUGUUUUAGCUUUAUCUUUUAAUGAAAAAAGAAAAAGCUUUAAUUUAAAGGUGUUCAUGCUACAAUUUGAGUCAUUAUAAGUGUUACAAACUUCUUCAAAUUCUCUCAAAUGCAAGUAUAGAUUUUCUAGUUCUAAGCCAUAAAAAGAAGGUAAAAGUUGAAUAAUGUCUGGCUUAAAAUUGAAGUGAGAUGCAUUAGGAGGGAAAACUAUACAUGAGGGUGCACUUGUUCUUGUAGGAUUCAUGUGGUCUCUAAGUGUUCUAACUCGAUUAUUCACAUUAUUCUCAUUAUGAAGCGACUGGUUAUCUUCUUCGGCCAUAUUUUCUGAAAAUGAUGAGGAUACCCUACAAAGUCUACCACUUAAUGUAUGUGACCAAACUCUCAUGCACAUGUAUGAAAAGGAAGAAAAGAAAAGAAACAAAACAAAAAGAAACAAAAGUUAGAUAAAAUAAAAAGUGAAAAGAGAAAAUAAAAUAGAUAUUAUAAUUUAUACAAGAAUUUACCUCCCCAGUAACGGUGCCAAAAACUUGACACAAUCAAAGAUUUGAUGUCUUCUCCCAAGUGCAAGAGUGUCAAAGUAAUAAAUAACCCGACAAGAUCAGGGUCAAACAACAGGGAGGUUAACUAUAUAAACUACAACUAAAGAAAUAGAUAAUAACAAAAACGGAGUUGAAGAGAGCUUUGAGAUGUGAUAUUGAUGUAAGGAUUUAAACAAAUAUCAAAUAAUUGUCAAGGUUAGAGAAUCCAUUAAUGGUAUUUCAAAUAAGUAUAAUAUAAACUCGUUUUAUUUUUCAACUGGAAACCAUACAUAAAGGAGGUUCCAAUCAUAUUAUAAUUUAUUAAUAUGAUUAUAUUAAUUAUCUUAUUUGAGUAAUGCCAAUAAUUGUAAAUUUUGUCAGGUAUUCAUGGUGAUAACUUAUUUUAAAAACAAAUCAAGUUCCUUUCAUAGCAUAGGUGUCGGUUAUACCAUACAGUUGGGCUAUGAAAGUAUCAAGUAUUUGUUGAACCAAGGGUUGUUCAACACAAAUCUAGAUUAAACAUUUAACAAACAAGGUAUUAAGAGUGAGUAAGAUAAUAAAUACAAAAUAUGUUAGUAUCAAACAUUAAAGUCCAUGUUGAGUUUAUAUUAUACUUAUUCUUACACCAUUAGUGUCCCCUUUUCACCUUGACAAAAUUAACUUAGCUAAAUAUUAUGAAUAAGAGAAACAUAGAUAAACAAGAUAAGAACAUAAUUAUAUAAGUAUAGUAAAGGAAAUGAAAAGCAUAAACAAGAGAUUAAGAAAAAUAUAACAUGGAAUAAAACUUGAACAUUAUAAAAUACAAAGAAAGAGAGCAAGAGCAAGAUCUUGAUCUGAAAACCAAGAUGUCUAAAUACAUGGCAAAUGCCUCCUUUUAUAGGCCAAAAUUCGGAACUAUUAAUUUGAUGACUAAUUGUCGAGUGGGUGGCUACAUCUUGACUUGGUGACAAUCCUUAUCUUCUUGUCUGAACAAAACAUCAUUGCUAACGUCGGAAUUUGAACAGAUAGUCUUUAUCAAAGUUCUAGGAAAUUGUCUCAGCUUUCCAACCAAAACAAAAAAAGAAUCGGUGCAUUUGGACUUCUAGAACUUGAAAUAUAGGUUGAACAUUGAACAAUGUCUAAGUUAUAGGACAGAUUCUGACUUCUCCGUUGUUGCUAUAAUUUGAACUUGAAAACAACCUUUUUGAAUCUUGGACUCUUCAUGAAAGUUUUAGGCAUAUGUCUUAGCUUUCUGUCCAUAUAGACCAGACCUAAAUCUGAGUUCUACAACUCCAGGUAUGAUCCAAUAACCGAAUAGUAUUUCAGUUUGGACUGAACCAACAUCUCUUUUCUAAGCUUGUCCCUCUCUUUGUCUUCUUAAUUUCAGUAGUUAAACUCAUCAAUCAAUCCUUUGAUUUUGUGAUAGGCCUGCAUUUAAGAUGAACAUUUACCAUAAAUUAAAGGUAUCUUAUAGUAUCAAACUUGUUAUUAUAAGACAUGCUUUAGUUAAUGAGUUAUUGAUACUUCAAGUGCAAAAUGAUGAUAUAAAACCUUGAUAAAAAUGCACUUUUAAGUACUAAUUACUAUAUAAGUUCUAGAUUACUAGGUAGGGAAUACAUCAUUUGAAAAGGGAAUUAAUAAGAAACAAGUGAAGAGAUUAUGAGGGGAAGAGAGGGAGAGGGUCAGUUGGUAUGCAAAGAGGGAGGAGCUAAAAUUUUUCAACUGAUUAAGAAUUAAAAUCCAAAUUAUCAUUAGGUAGGGAACCUUAAACCUAAUUAUAAAAACCAAUUUAAAUUUGAUGAGGAAUUGUGCACUAAUCUUGAAUUGAAAUUAGGGUUCUUGAGUAAAAUUGGGGAAAAUAUGGAAUUGGUUGAAAUUGGGUUAAUUAAAGUACUGUAAAUUACUUUGAACAUGAAAUUAUAUGGAAAUAUCAUAGAAAAAUCAAUGGUUAAAGGAAAAAGAGUGGCCAACCAUUAGGCCAUUAGGGGAAUGAAUGAGAGGAGAAGAAUUUAUGAUUUUAUUGAUAAAGUCCUUAUAAUGUGUUGUUAUAAUGUAAACAAUGACUAAAUAAGAUAAAUGAUUGAAUGAGAAGGAGAAGGGGACCUUUGGUUUCUUUAAACCAUGUUUUGGCGCAUGAGAAGAAAGAAAUAAACGGGUUUUUGAUGAAAAGUCUAGAGGAGUUGAUAACGUUUUCAGGAGAUUUCAAAUCUUGUUUUAUAUUGUGUUCCAUUUUCAUGAAAAAGAUCACCUUCAAUUGGCUAUCGGGUGAACAUCUUGGAUGGUUGGCUAUAGGUCUCAUAUUUGGGUAACAGGAGCUAUUGCAAUAGUUUUUUUAUGUUGGUAGUAGUCCACACCUAGUUGGCAUGGUUCUCUGCAUGGUUCAUUUCUAGUUCUUCAUGGCCAGUCGCUCUCAUGCUUAUUGUCCGCUCUCUGCUUCGGUUUUGCAUGGUGCAGUUUUGGGCGUGCAUGGUGAAUUUUUUGUCUUGCAUGCAUUUCUACGUGCUGAAGAUUGUUGUUGGGCCCACCACUUUGUCUUGCAUCCUCCCUGUGUUUGGUGCUCACAGUUUUCUCCUUGUGCUUCGUCGCUAAAUUGUUGCAUGGCUUAUACAUAUUGUCUUCAUGUUUCACUAUAUGCUGUUGGGCCCACUUCCUUCUAUCCUCGGGUGAUACGUGGUCUUCAGCAUAUGGCUUCGGGGCUUUUUGUGUUAAGGGUGUUAGCAGUUAUAUGUUUAUGGUCUAUUCUGUUGGUUUGUUAAUGGCAUUUGCUUUCCUUGGUUAUCCUUGGCACCUGUAGUAUUUGGGUUCCUAAAAUAACUGAUGGCCUGUUUCUUUAUAUUGUAUUUUUUCUUUGUGCUAGCUGGCAGCCUGUUCCCACUGGCUUGUUUUGUACAGGUGUAAACUUGGCUUGCUAGUUUUCCAGUUAGUCUAUCUUUUUUAUUUAUAAAAUUCUAACAUUUGAUAAAAAAAAAAAAGAUUAAGAUGGGAGCGAGGCGUUUUGAGAUUUUAUAUGUUAAUUGUGGGUAAAUUCGGUAUGGUAGAAAGUUUAUUAACAAGUGAAGCAUGAUAAUUUUAUAGCAAGGGAAUUUUAUAAAUUGAAUGCAUGUGUUAUGUAAGGUAGAAAUGAGUUUAUUGGUUAUAAUUUAUAGCAUAUGGCUUGACUUAGGAGGAGUUGCAGAAUGUAGGAAAAUAUGGAAUCCAAUAAUGCAUUUAUUUCUUGAAAUAGUUUUUGAUCACUUUAGAUAAAAAUGGGCAAAUUAGCUUAAGCGAUCACUAGAAGGUCAUAUUUGGGAAGGUUACCAUGCCAAUAAUAUAUAUCGCACCCGACAUUGCAGCGACCUUUAAAGUAUCUUUAAAUGAAAAUAGAAGAGAUUUCUUGCAUCUUAUUUUUAUAUAGGGGAAGGUCUAAUGUAAGGAGUUACCACCUUAUAUUAUGAUCACUAAGAACCUUAACUAAACAAUAGAGAUCGUAUGGUACAAGACUAGUUACGCAAACGAGAAGAUAUUAUUAUCCCUUAAAUGUCCUAUCUGAGGCAGUGAUGCGAUCCAACCAUCAAAGAAUCCAUUGGAGGUUCUAGUUGGUCCAGUUAUUAGGCUUAGGGCUAAGAAUUUCAAAGAAGCUUUCAAUGAACUUCUUCAAGAUACAUGGGCUAAGGUGGACUUCAAGUGGAUUUAUAAUAAUAAAGUGCAAGUCUUGAUUAAUCUGAUUCAUGUUCAAGAGGGGCUUGUUGGUGGAACCAAGACCAUUACACAAGGAUUGGGAGAAGAACACUAGAUUCGAAUAGUUUGACCUUUCAUUACUCUUUUGGUCAUAACUAGAGUUAUAGAUCUAAUUUUUAUGUGAUUUUAGUUGGGUUGGAAAUUAGACUUCCAUACCUUUCCAACGAUAUAUGCCACCUCUUCUAAUUCAUUAAGAUGAGAGAGAACGAUCCAUUUUAAGUUGGGUCUUCUUGCUGCCAGACAAAAUAUGGAAACAACGAACUUAUCUUAUUUAAUUAGUUGGGCUAUCAAACUUUAUUUAUUUUGAGAGGAGACAAUUUUUUUGGGCUUAGACUUGUUUAUUUUGUUUAUUUUAAUUAGUUUGGGCUAGUUUUAGCUUGGGUUUGUUAUUAUUUAAAUUGGGUUUAUGUGGGACCCAUUAGGAAAAUUAGAGUUUUGGCUUGGAGUUUAAAUACUCUUUAGGAAUAUUUUUAGGUCGGACUUUUGAUGAUAUUUUCAUAAUUGUAGCCGACUUUUGGUUGCUCAAUCUUGGUUCUUGAUUGAACUUUCAACUUUUCAAAGAAUUGACUAUUCUUUGUUGUGAAUUUAUACUUCCUUUGCUCGUCUCUAGGUGUAGGCGUUGUGAUUUAGUUGUUUAUAGUCUUGUUGCCUUGGAGCAAGUCUUCCAUUGUGAUAAGCUCAUUCAAAUCUCAACAAACUUGGGUUAGGUUGAUCUUGGAGUUGCGAAUACCAUUAAAUUCCACUAGGGUUCGCAUCAGUUGGUAUCAAAGCUGAUCUAAUCAUAGGUUAUAUCCUUCAAUUUGAGUCUUUAUUGUUUCUUGUUUGAUUCUUGAUAGAUUCGGCCACCUAUAUAUAAAUAUAUAUAAUAAGGAUCUUACUUUUUAUUGCUUUGUUGAACACUUAAUCAUACGUUAAUGUUAUUUUGAUGCUUUCUUGAUCAAAAUCAGCAUACACACCUAAGUUCUUGAUUUUGCUUUGUUCUUGCCGAAAUAUAUAUAUAUAUAAAAAAGGAGGCUUGAUCAUGAAAUCUUGAUCAUUGGGAAAUUGGUUAGUCUUGAUUCAUGAAUCUUUUAGUAGUCUUGUUAGUGUUUCUUGAAUAUUUUGGUAGUUUAGUUGAUUUUCUUGAGUUUUUGGAAUUUUCUUGAAUUAUAUCCUUAGUUCUUGAUAAUUCGUAAUUUUUUUAGCUCUUUUCUAAUUUUUUUAUUUUGUGUCUUCAAAUCGUCAUAUUAUUCAUACUGUCGCGGGGUGCGAGCGACGUCAUCUAGCAACAGCGGAGGCUAUUGUCGUGCCUCCUGUGUGAGAUCUUGUGUGUUGGGAAGGAUUUUUUGAUUUAAUCAUCAAAUGACAAUUAAUGUUUAGGAGUCGCCACCUAAUAUUAUGGUCACUAGGAACCUAUGGUCUGCGAGAGUCUAAGUAAGGGACUGGUUGUGCAAGGGGAAGACGCAUCACCCCCAAUGCACCCUACCUAAGGUAAGUUGCAUUGUUGUUUGAUUGUUUUUUCCUAGUUGGGUUGGUCUUUUCUAAGGUUCAAGGCAAAUCUCUAUUCAUGAGAGAGUCUUUGCCUUAUCGGGUUAAAUCCUAACCAUUCUAAAGUCUAAAUUUUAGAAUCGCAUUUAUUUACACAUUGUAUCUUUAAUACAUAAGGGUGUACUUUACCGUGUAAUUUUACACCCCUCAAAUAUUAAAGUCUACAUCUAGACCCUAAAAAAAAGAUUUGAAAAAGGUUUUUGAUAUUAUGAUCAAAUCCUAAUGGAUAAUCAUAAAUUGGUUACGAUAUCCAUUUUUUAAAAAAUAAAAAACAAAAUAAAAAAGAUGCAAUUUGUUUUUUUUAUGAAAAAUAUGCUUGGAAAUUUUUUUGAAUUUGGCCGUAUACAAUAAAAUAUUUUUUUUCUUUUUGAAUUUUUUUUUAAAUAUUUCCGACAAAACCAGAUAUUUUAAUACCAGAUUUGUAUUUUAUAGUGUAAAUAUACAAUCCGAUAUUAUGCAAUAUUGGUAGAAAAAUAUGUGAGAAAAUCACAUUUUUUUAAAUGAUUGUUUUGAAAAUUUUUGGGAAAAAAAAAAAGAAAAAAAAAAGGUAUAGUCCACUGCAUAAACAGUGGACGUGAAUUAUAAUUCACUUGUAAACAGUGGAACGUGAAUUAUAAUUCAUGUUCCACUGUUCAAAACAGUGGAACUUUCAUGGGGAAGACAAAGAACCAGGGGAAGGUUGGCAGACCACCUGGCAUGGCGGUGAUGGCUGGCUGGCAGGGGAGGACGACCUGAAGCCGGCAAUGGAGUUAGCUGCCUGAGUUGGUGGAGCGGCUGCAGCUAGGAAAGGAAGAAAUCUGCAGAGGGGAGAGAGACGCUCACGGUGGCUUAUUACAGACGCAGUGGUGGCUGGUCGGUGGUCUUAGCAACACGUGGUGGUUCUGUUUGCUUGAGGCGGAGCUGGAGGAAGAGAUGUUGAUGGCGUCCGUUUCCUGUGGCGGAGGAAGAAAGAAGCAGAAAAAUAAAAUAUGCAAUGGGGAGAGGGAGGAAGGCUGGUUUUUUGGCUUACUUUGGACCCGAUUUUCUCCUCUCUCAGGCCACCAAAUCCACCUCUAAUUAUAGGCGAUAAAAGAGGGCAAUCUUGUCUAAGUUGGGAAAAAAAAUUCAGCCCUUAAUUCACUUGGGAAGGAUCCCAACCGUUGGCUCAAAGUAGGCAUGAUGCACUGUCAAAACUGCAGAAACGGCUACCUGAGUUGGCAUGUUUAGGUCGGGGCCGACACUGUCUCGCUGCCAUAAAUACUAAACUGUUUUCUUGAAGCUGUAGAAAAAUUGCAGGGGAUCAUUUGCAUGCAAGAUUUGUCAACAUUGGUGGGUGAUAGGUACACUAAAUGCAGCUGCAAAGUAGGUAACCAGACCAGCUUUUUUCAGAAAAAAUGAAGAAGAUAAUGAACAGUUUUUUGGCCAAAUUUCAUUUCAGUCCUCCAUCUACCAAUUGCUUUCAAUGGAACCCCUAAUUGACCCUAAAAUUUUGAUUUAAUGCAAUUAAGACCCUGCAAAAUUACUGUUUGAUCCUCGGAUUUACGUGUCGUUUGCAAUAUGGUCCUUGGUCUUAGAAUUUGUCAAUUUAACCCCUAAUUGACCAUCAAACUUUCAAUUGCUUCCAAUUUGGUCCCCUAAUUUCAACCAAUUAACUUGGUAAAAAUUAAAUUUGGUCUCUUAAAAUUCCAAUCCCAAACUUAAUUUUUCACCAAUUAAGCCUAAAAUAAAAUUAAUUUGACCCAUUUAAAGUAUAAUCAAGUCUUUAUACUUAGUUAAAUCCUUCAAUUGGACCCAAAUUAAUUCUUAAACAUAUUUAAAAUUUAAUUUGGCUCAUGAUUAAAUCAAAUUGGCUUAUUAAAAAUUUAAUUAUGUCCUUGGACUUAAUUUUUCACUAAUUAAGCCCCCAAAUAAAAUUAAUUUGACCCGUUUCAAGUACAAUUAAGUCCUUGCACUUACUUAAAUCCUUUAAUUGAACCAAAAUUAAUUCUCAAACAUAAUUAAAAUUCAAUUUAGCCCAUGAUUAAAUCAAAUUGGCCUAUUAAAAAUUUAAUUAUGUCCUUGGACUUAAUUUUUAUGCAAAUUCAUCCAAUAAUCAUUUAAUUUGACCUUGAAUUUGCAUUGUUUUCUCCAUUUUUGGGCAUAAUGGGGUACAAUUAGGCCUUGAUUUUUUUCCAAAAAUUGCAGCUUGAUUUUUUCUAUUUUCGUAGUCCUCCUUGAUCUGCUUUCUCCACAUUGACAACCUUUAUUUUAUUUUUGGAUUUUGAAAAAGAAGUUAUUUUUGGGGAAUAACCCAGAAUUGGGUUAUGACACAUACAACUGUGCAUUGCUAUUCGUGAAUUUGUCAUCGAGUUUUGGUUUGUUAGUUUUUAAUUUUUUACUUCUAGAGCCUAUAUCAAAUUUAUAAAGUCACUAGAUAGUUGGUUGCUUUUUCUGAAUUGUUGCUAAGUGAUUUCAAGAAAUAAAGAAAGGCAAUUUAAGUGUGGAAAAAGGCAUAAAGAGUAUAUUCGAGUGAAAAACCUAUACAUUUGUGUGAAACACGAGUGUGUGAGGUGUUAUUUUUAUUGCUAAUGAUUUCGUGCAUGUUUUAAAAAAAAAAAUGUCUUCUAACAGUGUGCCAUGAAAGAAGGGUGAAAUCCUAGAAGAUGGGAUUUCGAGAAUACAACAACAGAUGGAAUUUAUGUUUGGUGAGCUGAUGACUAGGAUUGAAAAAUUAGAGACUAUGUCUGAUGGAGGGCGUAGUAAAAGGGGUAGAGAAGUUAGGAAGGAGGAAAGUGUUGUUGGAAACUCUGCAGAUGAAGCCUAGGAUGAUCUUAACCAUGGUGGUGGGUUUCGUACACGUAGGGGAUAGAGGUAUGAGAAUUGAUCAUAGAGGGGACAUAUUUGACCACAGGGAUUUUGAGCAUAGAGGAGAUUUUGAUGAUUCGGGAGAUAUAGACCGAAAUUUGGGUAGUAUUAAGUUAAAAAUCCCAGCCUUUAAGGGAAAAACUGAUCCGGAAGCUUUUUUAGAUUGGGAAAAAAAGACGGAGAUGAUUUUUGACAUCCAUAGGUACUCUGAAGAAAAGAAGGUUAAGUUAGUUGUAGUGGAGUUUACUGAUUAUGCCAUGGUUUGGUGGGAGAGAUUGGUAGUAGAAAGAAGAAGGAAUAGAGAAAGACCAGUUAGCACAUGGGAGGAGUUGAAGACAAUAAUAAAAAAGAGGUAUGUUCCUAAAUAUUAUUAUCAGGAGUUGUUUAAUCAUUUACAAAUGAUUACAUAGGGUAAUAAGAGUGUGGAGGACUAUCAGAAAGAAUUAGAGGUGGCUAUGAUUAGAGCUAAUGUUAAUAAAGAUGAGGAAGUUAUUAUGUCUAGGUUUUUGAAUGGCUUGAAUAGAGACAUAACUAAUGUUGUGGAGUUGCAAUCAUAUGUUGAUAUAAAGUGUUUCAAGUGUCAUGGAUUGGGACACUAUGCAUCAGAAUGCGUAAAUCGUGGAGUUAUGAUUCUAAGGGAUGAUGGAGAGAUUGUGUCCACUAGUAAGGACUCUGAUUGUGAUGACAUGCCCCCACUUAAGGAUGCUAGUGAUUUAGAGUAUGCUGUUGGUGAUAAAGUUUUGGUGAUUAAAAGGUCAUUAGUGUUCAGACUUAGGAAGAUGAUGUGGAGCAACAAAGGGAGAACAUCUUCCAUGCUAGAUGUUUAUUCAACGAUAAGGUAUGUUGUAUGAUCAUUGAUAGUGGUAAUUGUAUUGUUACUAGUGUUACUUUGGUUAGAAAGUUGGAAUUGAAUACCAUAAAGCAUGAGAGGCCUUAUCAACUUCAAUGGUUGAAUGAAUGUGGUGUUGUUAGGGUGAAUAGACAGGUGAUGAUUUCUUUUUUAGUGGGCAAAUAUAAGGAUGAAGUGUUAUGUGAUAUAGUGUUUAUACAUGCUACUCAUUUGUUACUAAGGAGGCAUUGGCAAUUUGAUAGAAAAGCCAAGCACGAUGGGUUUAAGAGCAGGUAUUCAUUAGAGAAGGAUGGAAGGAUUUAUACACUUGCCCCACUCUCACCAAAGCAAGUGUAUGAAGAUCAAAUUCAAUUGAAGAAGGGCUAUGAGAAAGAGCAACAUGUUUCGGCCAAAAUGGAAAAACAAGCUAAACAACAUGGUGAGGAUGUGAGGAAGAGAGAAAAAAAAGUGAGCCAUGAGUUGAAAGCAAAAGGGAAGAAAGUUUCGACCCUUAGGACAUUAUGGGAGGGUCAUGGCCAAUAACAAAAAAAAUGAAAAGAAGGUCGAGAGUGGAGAGAAAAUGAGUGGAGAGAAAAGAAGAGUGUGUAGAAAAAAUAGGGAAACACCUUAAUUGUUUUGCAAAAUAUAAUGAUUUAAACAUGCAUAUCUUUAUGUCUUGCCUAUGAUUUUACUAGUGUAGAAAGAGACAUUCUUUACUCAGAUGAUUUAGAUUCUUGUCUUCCUAGUGUUGUUAAAUUUCUUUUGCAGGAAUUUGAGGAUGUCUUUCCGGAUGACAUACCUAGUGGUUUGCCGCCAAUUAAAGGUAUUGAGCAUCAAAUUAACUUUUUUUUCCAGGAGCAUCUGUACCAAAUAGGUCGGUAUAUAGGAGCAAUCCUUAAGAGACUAAAAAGCUUCAAAGGAAAGUGUGGGAGUUAAUGUCGAAAGGAUACAUUCGAGAGAGCAUGAGUCUUUGUGUAGUUCUCGUGCUUCUUAUUCCAAAAAAGGACAAAACUUUGCAAAUAUGUGUGGAUUGUCGAGCUAUCAAUAACAUCAUUGUAAAGUAUCGACAUCCCAUUCUUGGAUUAGAUGAUAUGUUGGAUGAAUUACAUGGUUCUAAAUUAUUUUCUAUCCCUUUAUCACUCACCACAAAUCCCAACUUCCCAGAUUUCACCCUGAAUGAACAAUUUGCAAGGUUAAGCCUCAACUUAUAUUUCCUUAGUCUUUCAAAAAAUUUCUUCAAUAUUUGGACAUGAUUCUCUUCCUCUCUGGAUUUAGCAAUCAUGUCAUCCACAUACACUUCAAUCUAUUUAUGCAUCAUGUCAUGAAAUAGAGUCACCAUGGCCCUUUGGUAGGUGGCCCCGACAUUUUUUAACCCAAAUGGCCUAACCUUGUAGCAAACGGUUCCCCAUGGUGUUACAAAGGUUGUCUUCUCCUUAUCCUCUUGCGCCAUUUUUAUUUGAUUGUAGCCCGAAAAUCCAUCCAUAAAGGAACAUGUGGAGCUACGUGUCACAUUAUCAACUAACAUAUCUAUGUGUGGUAAAGGAAAAUUAUCUUUAGAGCUAACCCAAUUUAAGUCCCUCAAGUCCACACAAACUCUAAUUUUAUCUUCAUUUUUUGGUACAACCACUAUGUUGGACACCCAGUGUGGAUACUUGACUACUUCUAAAAAACCAGCAUUCCACUAUUAUUAUUUUUUUUUGCCUUUACUUUGAUUAAGACCUCUGGAUGAGUUCUUCUCAACUUUUGCUUAAUCGGCUUGCAUCCUUCUACUAGUGGUACCCUAUGUACUACAAUAUUUGUAUCCAAACUAGGCAUAUCCUCGUAGGACCAGGCAAAAACAUCUAUGUGAUCUCGGAGUAGUGCAAUCAACUCUUCUCUUUCUUUAAGGAUGAUCAGAGUCCCUAUCUUUAGCUCUCUCUUGAUUUCUUCAUUGCCCAUAUAUAUGGUGUCAAGUUCCUCUUUAGCAGGUUUACAUGCUUAUUCAUGUUGUUAUAUUAAUUUUUUUAAUUCUCUAAUGUUAUUUUCAUCCCAUUCUUCCUCUUCUACAGCUACUAUAUAUUCUUUAAAGUCUGGCCACUCAUUCUUAGUGUAAAGUGUAGGUGUUGUUGUAGAAGAUCCAUUUUCAGGGUUCAGUGAUAUGUAAAUUGCAUAGUAAGAAAUCAAGAUGAACUUUGAAAAUGCAUGAUCUCAUUAAAAGGAAAAGGUUGCCUAAAAAACAAAGAUAAAAUCCAAUUGUCAUCCCCAGCCUCAAUUGUCAAUAAUUGGAAAACAAAACAGAAAAAGGCAAACAAUACCGACAAUAUCAUAAUCUAACAAGCAUUGUUGAUUACAUUUUUAACACCAACGGAGCUUCUUGGGUCUCACAAUUCUAGAACUUCUCUCAUUCGACUAGCUUUCGAACAAAAGUCCUGGCGAUAACUUUUUCUAUAGUGUAGAUAGUUAAUUGCGGUAUCUCUUCAUCCUUUCUUCUAGAUUCAGUUUUCCUAGCAAUGCCUUUGACUUUAUCUUCCUCUAGAGUGUUUAUGUUCAUAGAAGAAAGCUUCUGAAGAAAGUUUUCAUCUCCCUUAUCAGGUUGCAUCACAUAUACAGCCUUUGGGAACGAAACCCUAAUUGGAGGGAUGGCUAAGUUUUCCUUUUCAGGCUUCCUUCCUUCAAUCCUAACCAUUUUCUUCUCUCUUCUUACACCAGUAGCUCGCCUGUAAUCCUCUUUCUUAGGCUUAUAUCCAAGCUUAAACCUCUGUUCUAUAGCUUUUAGCUUUAUUAUAUUAAUUCACUCAGGUUUUCCUUUUUCGAUGUCAUAUUAAAAAGGAAUCUUGUGCUUCAAAAAGCUUUUAGCAGCCAUUUUGGUGGCCUCUGAGAUCUCUGGUUUCCUCACCACAAUGUAUCAAUGGCCUUCCAAACAACAUACUAUAGGAAUGGUGGAUAUUCAUCAUUUGAAAGGUUACUAGAAAGACUUAUGGACCCACGACUAGUUCGACCUCAAUUGUCCCUAUCACUUGUCUUGAUGAGCCAUUGUAAGCUCUGGCUUUCAUAACACUUGGUUGCAUGUGUGAGGGAUCUACCGACAUUUCAUCCAGCAUAUGUCUUGGUAACAUAUUAAGGGCUGAGCUGUUAUCAAUAAGAACUUUGUCAAUGAGAUGAUAUUUGCAUCGGGCCGUGACCUAUAGAGGCUUGUUAUGUCCAAUUCCUUUAGCGUCAAGUUCAUCUUCCGUGAAAUACAAGUAAUUGGCAGCAUGGAUCCUCCCUACUAGAUGCUUCAUAGCCUUUUGUUCAAUAUCUUGGGGUACGUAAACCUUAUUUAGUACUUUUUACAAAGCAUUGCGAUGCGGCUCGGAGUUGAGUAUUAAUGACAUGAUCGAAAUCUUGGCAGGAGUCUUCUUCAGCUGAUCCACUAUACAGUACUCGCUAUGUUUCAUCAAUUUUAGGAAGUCAGUUGUCUCUUCCUUAGUCACGAUUUUAUUCACUUCAAGCUCUUUAUUAAAGUCAACAACCUCUUUACCCUUAGCCUUUCUUUGCUUCUAUAAUUGUUCAGGUGUGAAACAACGAACACUCCGGGUUGGUCCACUUAUCUCAGUUCAGAAUAAAGGCAAUGGAGCUUCGAUAUUUAAGGUAUAACCAUAAUUGCCAGGCAUUUUUUUAUAGUAUACUUUGUUUGCUCAUAAGAGCUUAGUCAAUAUCAACUUCGAGAGCGUAUUAGUUGUUGAUUGGACCCUACACUUCUCCAGAUUCUCUAUCAUCUUUAUCUCUUUAUUGUCCUUUAUAGCCUCAAUCCUUAGGUCUCCCUAGAGUCAGCAUUCUUCCAACCUUUUGAUGAAACUCAAUACAUUCAUCAAUAUGAUGCCUUUUUUUAUGGAAUAGGAAAAAGUCACUUUCCCUAUGUAGCAUUCAGUCGAUUUCUCCAAGUGUCCAGAUUGUAACAACAUAUCGUAUAACCUUGUCAUGAUCACUUUUAACACCCUUUCUUUUCUACCAACCUCCAUGGUAUUCACUCCACUACUACCAACAACAUGUUUGGGUAAAGGGUUUGAAUUCACAUUAGGUGAAUCCUUGAAAGUGACUCAUCCAACUUUGAUCAGCUGUAACACUUUCUUAAAAGUAAAGCAAGUCUCAAUGUUGUGACCCGCAUUACCAACAUGGUAUUCACAAGUCACCUCGGGGUUGUACCAGGUAGGGAAAGGUGGUUGCAUAGGUGGUACUAGUAAGAGAGCUAUUUACCCAAUACUUAGCAACUUGGCAUACAACUCCUUUAGGGUUAUUAGUAAAGGUAGUAAAUGUUCUUCUUGUUGUCGAUUGUCUUUCCUUUGGUAAUUGAUUUGGUUAUUUGGAUUUUGUCUGAUUUGGUUGGUUUAGGAUUGAGGUUUUGGAAAUUGAUACUGGUGACUUAGGAGGUAGGUGUUUAGUAGUUUUGGUAAUUCUUGCUUUUCCCUUUGUAUCAUGCCUUCUAGUUUAUCACCUAGUUUCCUUUUUUUUCCCAACAAAACCCCCUUUCUCUACAGGUUUUGCAAUUCUUCCACUUUGGAUUCCUUAUUCAAUCCUCUUGGCAAUCCAUACAACAUCAUAAAAAUGUUGGGCUAAGCUACCCAUCAAGUGCUCAUAAUAUAGAGCCCUAAAAGUAUUGGCGAAUAGGGUCACCAUUUUUUUUUUUUUUAUCAAAUGUAAGAAUAUAUUAAGAUCAAAGGUAACAAAGCCACAAAAGUAGCAAACAGAAAAUGUAUAUACAGAGAUGAGGGUAACCAGUACCCUAAAACUAAAAUGGGAACAUGCUCCCAUUGAAAAGAAACAUAAAACAAACAUCCCUAAGGCCAGAAGUAGCCACACAUAGAACAAACAUGAGGGACUUAACCAGCCAAUCCAAUGUACUGCCAGGCAAGUCAAUCUACUGCUAGUAGAGCCAAAACAAGCAGCCGAAAUCCAACAAAAACAUCCAGCUGCUCCUCUCCCAUGCCGAACCAAGUCAACAACAUAUAGCCAUCAUAAUUCAACAAACCACAACAGCUAAGAACACAGCCCCAAGGGCCCAUCAAAACCCCCCCAUGAAAUAAGGACCAACUAACUACGCGAAGCCAACAGAGGAUAGACCAUGUAGGGGCAAGAUAAACAUGCAUUUACAUUAAACUACCCCAACCAAUCCAAUCAGAAUGCAACAUUGUAAGCCAGGGGAUUUUUUUCAUGAAAAUACAAUAUAGUGUAAAAUAGAAUAUGAAAUUUUAUGAAAACAGCCUUAACCGAUUUGCCAGUGUUGUAAAAAAUUCUCAUGUUUCUUUCCUCCCAGAUCAAAUACACAAGAACAGCAAGAGAUACUCUUCUCAUUUUUGGUUGUAGCCUUUUUUUGUUACGAAGGUAGAAGAUUGACUUAAACAGAGGAGAGUCAGUUUUCUUGGCAUCCAAGGACCAAAUAGAGGCGUGGGCUAUGUAGUAAUAGCAUACCCAUCUAAUCCAGAGGGAAUCCGCCUUCAAAUGAAUAUUCCAAAGAUGCUUUGCAAAGAAACUGUCGUUUCUAGCUUUGAUAUCAUGAAUCCCCAGACCCCCUUCAUCUUUUGGCAGACACACCUGUUUCCAAGCUACAAGAGCCGAUUUAUUUCUAAUCAUAGUGCCAAUCCAUAAAAAGUUCCUGCACAAACUAGUAAUCUUGCUGAUAACAACAGCUGGGAUAGGGAAGAUACUAAUCCAAAACUGCACCAUGCCAUGCAGGACAGACUUAAUUAACUCCAGCCAACCUGUAUAAGAGAGGUACUUUCCCAUCCAAUUUUGAAUAGCAGAUUCUAACCUGUGGAUGAGAGGGGAGAAUUGGCUGGCAAGAAGCCUGUGGGGGCUGAGAGGGACACCGAGGUACUUAAAGGGAAAGCUUCCUUCAGUGAACUGGGAGAGGCUAAGAAUAUAGGGUCACCAUUUUUGUUUCUAUUAGUGGAGGUUGUACAUGGAUGGCUUAGUCUCGCCACCUUUGAGCGUAAGCCUUCACGGACACUUGAGUUUCUCUCCAUGAUAAUAAGACUGGUCCUAUCAGGCGCGAUCUCAAGAUUGAACUUGUAUUGCUUUAAAAAAGCAUCUGUCAGGUUUGCCCACUUCUUGAUCCUAGUGUUGUCUAACCUCAUAUACCAGCUGAGGGCAAACCCUGUUAGGCUAUCUUGAAAGAAGUAAAUUAACAUCUUAGCAUCGUGGAUAACUUCUACCGUCUUAUCAUAAUAUGACUGAAUAUGGAUAUUUGGGCAUUCCAUCCCAGUAUACUUAACAAACUUUAGCACCCUGAAUUUCUUCGGUAUUAUGAUGUUAGGCAUCAAACACACUUCACCUACCCUAAAUGGGUCAAAUAAAUCAUUUCCUUCAAUUGCCCCUAACCUCCCUUCUAGCGCAGUACACUUAUCAUACCCCAAAUCAUCAGAGAAUCUGACGUCAUAUGGAUCUUCAGUUGUUAAAUCCAUCGCAAUAGGAAUUUAGAUGGGCCGAGCGGGAUCAUAAUGCUUCUUAUUCAAUGUAUUUGCCCCUAUAUUCUGAGGUGCAACAAGGAUUUGAGCUGUUGGUAGUGCUUCACCAGGUUAAGUAAAUGUUCCCUCUCUAUCUCUUGCUCUUAACAUUUGCUUGAGCAAACUGGUUAGGUGCGAAACAUUAUUCUGAACUCCUUCAAGCUCUUUUUGGUAUGACCUUUCUUUGUUUUCCAUCCUCUUUCUUUGUCGCGUGUUGUGGAUUCUAGAAGGGGGGCCUAUGUUUCUCAGCCUGCAAAUGCAUGCACAAAUGUAUAAGAAAAUACAUGAUAUAAUGCAUGAUUGUGAUAAAAAUGCUUUGUAUAUUAGGUAUGGAUGCAGCCUUCCCAUGAACGAUUGAUGGCCACCACCUCAUAAGCAUAGGUUCUCUUGUCACAUUGCUUGUUAGGAGUAAUACCUUUCGAGUUGUUUGUUUUAGUAAGCUUGAAUCAUAUUCACCAAGAGACAGAUUUUGCACAAAAGAUGAGUCAAUACCCUUCUCAUUAAUGCUUGAUAAGUUCAUUACAUUUUUUGAGAUACAAAAUACAUUAAUCUAUUUCUUCUACCACCUCUCUAGCCAAAAGUAAGAAAACAAAGUCAUGGUUCUUAAUUUUUCCUAAAAAGGUAUCGGUUUCGGCUAAACUUCAGCGAUAGCAAAUGAUGUCCCCUCCUAGAUUUUGAGCAUUAAUUCUAACAAUCUGAGCAUGUGCAGCAGCUUCAUCCAUUUGCUCAUCCAUAUUGGUCAUCUCUUCUAUAAGCAACAUAUUGGUUUUGUUUAAAGUAGUAUUGUUGGCGUCGAUUUGAUCGUUGUGUUUUUCCAUUGCUGUUAGCUUUUCAUCCAAAUACUUCACCUUCUCGCGUUCUUUGUCAAGCUUUAUCCUCAGAACUUUCAUAUCAUUCCUCUUAGUCACUAACUCAGCCUCAACAACCUCGACAACCUCAACACAUUUUGUUUUAUUGAUGUAGUGGCCAACUAUUGAUUUAAUGGACUUGGUGGACAGCAGCACUCAAGCAUUUUGGCUGGAUGAAAUGACAUUGAUUCAAUCCGAAUUUGGCAAAGUGUUCUUCUUGAAAGUUGUUGAAAAUCAUCUCCUCUUUCCACCCAUAAAAUUUCAGAUCAUUUGGAUCACUAGAGAACGAGAUAUGGCUAAAAUACUGAGUAGUGCUUCUGGUGGACGUGGUGGACAACCCUCAAGCUCUUGUCUGGAUGAAAUGUCAUUGCUAACAUGAGGAUUGGAGCAGGUCGUCUUCAUGAAAGUUAUUGGAAAUUGUCUUAUCCUUCCACUCACCAAAGUUUACGUCAUUUGGCCUUUUAGAUCUCCAUCUAUGGGUAAAAUUCUAAGCAGUGUUGGGCUGGAUUGCAGGACAAAUUCUGACUUCUUUUUUGUGGCCAAACUUUGAAUUUUAAAAUGGCGGAUUUGGGUCUUUCACUAUUCAUGAACAUUGUAUGCCUAUUUCUUAGCUUUCUAACCAUAUAAACCAAACUGAAAUCCAAGAUCUAUAGCUCCAGAUAUGACCCAAUGACUUAACAGUGUUUCAAUAAUGAGUGUUUAAAAUCUCAUGAAUGAUUAUUUAUGUGGAAAUGACAUGUUUUUUAUACAAUGGUGAUAAAAAGAGUGAAAUAAAUGCAUGAAAAUGAUUGGUUGUGUGUUAGACCUAUAAACUAGAAAUCUAGAUAGUGUUAUUAUCUAAAUUGUGGCUAGAAAUUGAACUAGUUAAAGACAAAAUUUGAGAUAUUAUCCUUCAUGAAAGUUGUAGUUAAGAGUGUUAACUUUCUAAUAGGACUGCAUUUGCCCAAAUCAGAGUUAUAAAACCCUAAAUAUAGAUAAAAACUUGAAGGUAGGUCAGGUUGGAAAUUACUGGACAUAAUUUACAUCAAACCUUCAGUUGAAAUUUGAGAUUAGAAAAUAAAAAAAUUUAGGGUAUAUGUCUUCAUGAAGAAUAUGGUUAAUGAUGUUAGCUUUUGUAGGAAAUGAACCUUACCCCAUUUGGAGCUAUAAAGCUCCAAAUAUGGAUAAAACACUAGAGAAAUGACAAGUUGUAUGUUACAUGACAUAUUCACGUGCCAUUGUAUUUCGACGAAUUUAAGUGUUUAAACAACAUAACUGAGUUUUAAGUGUUUACACGAUAGAACUGAGUUUAAGCAUCCUCACUAAAGUUGUAUAUUUAUGUCUUAGCUUACUAAAGAAAUAAACCCCAUUUGAAACUGAGUUCUACAACCCUAGUGAGGAGGGAAACACUAAACAAUGUUUUGAUGUAUUGUUAUGAAUUGUUAAACACAAUGAGUCUAAGUAUAAAGUUUAUAAAAUAAGUGUUUCUUGUACAAAGACUGAGUAUGUGAAUUCUAAAGAAUGUACUAACAAAAAAUAUUUGUAUGGAUCAAGAGGAACAUCGGGGACAUGAUCUUCUGUUAGUGGAGCUCACUCGACCGACAAAAAUAGGUAAGUAAAGUCUUACUUACAACUUAUGACGUCGAUAUAAGUUUUUGAUUGUAAUUAUAAAUGUUAUGUAUGAAAAGAAUACAAAUGAAUUGUAAAUGGUGGUGUGAAACUAAUGUGGUUAAGUUGCUUUCACAAUGUACAAAAGUCAAUGUUGUGAUUGAGUUGCUUUUGCAAUGUACGAAAGCCAUUGUUGUUAUCAUUUUCAAAGUUUUCGGAAACUAAUGUUACUAGGUUGCUCUCACAAUGUACAAAAACCAAUGUUGUGAUCGUUUCUGAAGUUUUUUCAGAAACCAAUGUGUUUGGAUUGCUUUUGUAAUGUAUAAAAGCCAAUGUUGUAAUCAUUUUCAAAGUUUUUAACUCAAAAGGAAACAAGACCUUCAGAAUCUUCUGUCAAAAUAUUAAAAGAUAUGCUUAAUUUACCAAACUACAUCUUGAACUCUUUUUAAAUAUCUCAAACCUAAAAAAUUUAACCAAUAAUGAAAUAAUGUAAUAAACAUUAUUAGGCCAAGAAUAUUGAAAUAGUUACCCAAAUCAAUCCCCUUACUUCCAAAAAUUUGUUCGCGAGUUAACUCUAAAAGAUUGAAUGCUUCCACUCCAAAUGAAUACUUUGAAUAUAGCAUUGUCGCCAAUAUAUUACUAAGUAGCAUGUCUUUACCUUUGAACUUCAAAUUUUAAUUUAUGAUGUAUGCAUAUUAAAGAAUAAUCCAUAUUUAAUGUUAUAUUUUCAUUCCUAUAAAGUCCACAUAUUCUUUUACUUCAAACUUGAUCUCAUCAUCAUCUAUAACUUCUAAUACUUCAAUGUUUGAAUUUAUAUAUAAAAAAAAAACAAACAAACAAACUUCAAGAUAAUCUUUCAUAAUAUCUUUAGAAAAAUUAUUAGAAAUUAACAUGUCCUUGUUUGCAAGAUCUCCAUCCAUACCUGAAAGAUCUUAGUUUUCAUUGUUUUCUCUAACUUAAUAUCAAAAAACUGAAAUUGUUUAUCAACAUCCUUUUUGGUCAUGUUAUCUUCAACAUGAUUAAAUAACUUUGAAAUUUUAGUUUCACCAAACUUCGCCACACAUAACUGAUUAUCAAGUGGAAUUUCAUGAAAAGAUAUAAGGUAAGGUCGACCUCAAGGUAUGUCUCCAAACACAUUCCUUCCUCUUUGUGAUUCUUAUUUGCAUCUCUCAUUAGCCAAAUUGGAUUUGGAUCUAUUAUGGCUUGAUCCUAGCGAUCAAACCUCUAUUCUCAACGAUCUAGCUUCUACUUCUCAAUCCACACAAUACUCAAAAAGGUCUCCACUUUAAAUGGGUUACUAUCAUCUCCAUUCAUCAAAUAGGUCAGCCUAGCCUACUCUGAUACAAAUUGACAUGGUAUAUAAUGAGGAUAGAAGCUAAAGCCCUAAACAUUGUAGAUGAAUAAAGAAAAUCUCUGAUAUUUUAUUAAAAGUAUGAAUAGUGUGAAUGUUCUUACAAAAAUAAAGUAGACAACCUUAUUUAUACUAGUAAUAGACCUGGAAUGCUUGAAAGAAAAGAAUUCAUAAUUAAAACUUACCUAAUUACUAGAAUCUACAUCUAUUAAAUAGUAAAAUAUUAAUUAAAUUAAAAGUUUUAAUCUAAAUAAGAAAUAUAAUCCAAUACAAUAAAGUAAAUAAAAACAAUCAUGCAUAGUAACUUCUGGGCCUUCCUGAUCUUUAAUCAUCAUGAAAUUUUAACUCAAUAGAAAGCAUGACCUUUAGAAUCUUCUAUUAAAAUUUCAAUUUAAUCCAUCAAUCAUAUUAAAAGUUAUGCUUGAUUUACCAAAUUAUAUCUUGAACUUUUAAACUCCUUAAAAUCUAAAAACCUUAACAAUUAAUAAAAUAAUGUAAAAAACUUUUUUAAGCCAAGAAAGCUCCCCAUGUCAGCACUCCCACUAGCUAAAUUGCAAAUUCAUCCGCCCAACACGACCAUGGUCAACCAAAUGAUCAAAUUCACUAGUUCUCUUAGGUUAACUACAAUUGAUAAAUUGACCUACAAAAUGUCCCUCCUAGACAUCCACUGGGAACACCUCAGAUGAUGGACACUGUCACCCAAAUCAUAAUAAAUGAAAGGACCAACAGAAGCAGUGGCAUGAAUUAAACAGCUCCUAACAAGCCUCAAAUCAACCAAUCCCCUUUCUUGCUAGCCAUUUUUUACAAGCAAAGCUUUGCAUGAUUCAAACAUUUACAUUUUGAUUGCAUGCAAUAAGCCAAGAGAGAUUUGACCAAAGAUGCUAGAGAUCUCACUGAACUAUUUGUGCGACACAUUGGAAAAUGCUUCUAGAAAAUUUCCCACUUUUAAUUUAUGCAGUCAUUUGAAUGUUUCUAUGCAGCCAGGCGGUGCAUAUAAGUUUCAGUCCCCGAAACACGCCAUAGUUAGCAACUAUGUCCCUUCAAGUCAGUUGAGAAUUAAACAUUAUUUCACUUUGCGUAAAUAACCAAGAAAGUACUUUCCUACACAAGAUGGUCCAGGUUUAUGAGGUGAUGAACAUACUUCUGGACUGUCAGUGUUGAAACGAUCAUGCUCGAACCAAUGAUGACAGACUAAAAUGGAUCCCAAAAAGUAAGUUAGGUUCAAUUAUGAAAGGUUACACAAAACAAAGGCCUGGAAACCUGGCUUUCUGAGAUGAAACCAAUGCAUUUGGACAUAAAAGAUGGUUAUCACUGGAAUCACCCCAAUGAUUUUAACUGAAGUCCAAUGGAAUGGGAAUAUGAGAGGAAAUGAAGGUAUAGAACUCUUGGAUUUCCAAAACAAAAGAAAGUAAAGUUCUACGAAUUUAUAAUAUUAGUAAGAACCAAAAUAAUGUGCUCAUCAGAAUAGUUCAACAUGCAAUUGAUGCAAAAGUUGAAAAAUAUCUAAUGCCAGUUUUUCCCUUCAAAGCUCCAGGACUUUAUUUUUUCAACUAAAUGCUCUCAGUGUGAAGAACGGAACACUCUCAGGACAACCAAAACAUAUACUUGGGUAUGUUUAGCAGAGUUUAUUAAAAUUAAAAUAUGUAUAAUUUGAUUGUUUGCUAAUAUAUUGAAGAAUCAUAUCCACAAUAUAUCUUGCCACAACAUGAUAAUGGGAGAACGAAUGUGAUGGCCAGAAAACAAGCAAACAGAAACAAAUACAUUCCACACCUAUCCUUUGUACUCCAAAACAACUUUAGUGCUAAUAUUAUAGCAUCUCCUGGGAACCAUAUGUUACAGUCUACUUAUUGGCUUGCUAAGCACCAAAGUUUAUCCUUAGUCAGCAGGCAAAAGAUAGCGGGAUUCUUAUUAUCCAAUAAGAAAAAAAAGAUGAUAAGCACCUUGAAAAUCAGAAAAGAGUUUGCAAGGAAAGAUCACAAAGAUGGAAAUCUUUAGCACAGAAUGUAUGAACAUCUAGCUAUCCUAGUUAAUGAUUCCAGUUCAUGUAUUGAACAGUGUAAAACGCUCCAGUAUAACAAAGCGAAGACAAAGACGAUCUUCUUAAUUAAUCUCUUAUUAACCCAAGUUUGUGAGUUUCUGUUUAAUAAUAAUUUUACCAGGAAGAAAAUGUAGACAUGCAUUAAACACAGAAAAUAUAGAAGAGGCUGGGUAUCAUUUUGAUAUAAUAGUAUCAUUUGUACCUAACGUUGGAUUCUAGUACAUACUUUGGGAUCCAAUAUCAACCAUGUUGUAGUUGGACCCUCUCUGAGACAUAAAAUCUACAAACCAAUAAAAGCCUUACAAAAUCAACCGGUAUGGUUCCAUGCAGCCAAGGAAAGGCCCAACUGCAAACAACGAUCCACUAGAAAUAACAUGAUUUCCAUUGUCAACUGAUUUUGUUAAGAUUAACCACUAGUUCUGGUUUAAAGUACUGUGCUAUGGCAAGCACGUUGAUUUCCCCCAGCUCAGAAGGUUUAUGAAACGCAUAUUAAAGAAGAAGAAGAGCAUCAAAUGGAAAUAACAUAUUAAAAGACUAAUGUCUUAAACUUGAUAAGUCACUGUGUUAUUCAGCAAGGCAAUUGAUAAUUCAGAACUGCACCGUGUAUAUCUCUAAAAAGAUAUAAAAUUGUAAUUCAUAUUGAGCAGGAACUAUACAUACUGAAGCAGAAAUCCUCCAUUGAUUGUCUCCGCAAGUACUCAUCAAACAGUUGCUUUGCGCUGGAAACCAAUUCCAGGAUCAUCAGAGGAAGGGAAAACCAGGAAACCAGUGACCAUAGCAUCAUGUGGGCCACGGCGGC